AUAAUGAUAAAUACCCGAUUUCGACUCGGACUAAUCAAUUAAAUUUUGAAUCAUUAUA
This 58-nucleotide transfer RNA is filed under the name Myzostoma seymourcollegiorum. RNAcentral describes it as "tRNA-Arg". The record is from RNAcentral. Lineage: Eukaryota; Metazoa; Annelida; Myzostomida; Myzostomatidae.